UGGUUGCAAAGUCACCGCUGUUUUCAAGAA
This 30-nucleotide non-coding RNA is filed under the name Homo sapiens (human). Lineage: Eukaryota; Metazoa; Chordata; Mammalia; Primates; Hominidae. The record is from RNAcentral.